RNAcentral lists this ribosomal RNA (305 nucleotides) under uncultured bacterium. Its description in RNAcentral is "bacterial SSU rRNA". It matches the Rfam family "Bacterial small subunit ribosomal RNA", at positions 338 to 660 of the family's 1533-position model. The record is from RNAcentral.
CCUACGGGGGGCAGCAGUGGGGGAUAUUGCACAAUGGGGGAAACCCUGAUGCAGCGACGCCGCGUGGGUGAAGAAGCGCCUCGGCGCGUAAAGCCCUGUCAGCAGGGAAGAAAAUGACGGUACCUGAAGAAGAAGCCCCGGCUAACUACGUGCCAGCAGCCGCGGUAAUACGUAGGGGGCAAGCGUUAUCCGGAUUUACUGGGUGUAAAGGGAGCGCAGACGGCGAUGCAGGCCAGGAGUGAAAGCCCGGGGCCCAACCCCGGGACUGCUCUUGGAACUGCGUGGCUAGAGUGCAGGAGGGGCAG